GACGAACGCUGGCGGCGUGCCUAAUACAUGCAAGUAGAACGCUGAAGGAGGAGCUUGCUUCUCUGGAUGAGUUGCGAACGGGUGAGUAACGCGUAGGUAACCUGCCUGGUAGCGGGGGAUAACUAUUGGAAACGAUAGCUAAUACCGCAUAAGAGUAGAUGUUGCAUGACAUUUGCUUAAAAGGUGCAAUUGCAUCACUACCAGAUGGACCUGCGUUGUAUUAGCUAGUUGGUGGGGUAACGGCUCACCAAGGCGACGAUACAUAGCCGACCUGAGAGGGUGAUCGGCCACACUGGGACUGAGACACGGCCCAGACUCCUACGGGAGGCAGCAGUAGGGAAUCUUAGGCAAUGGACGGAAGUCUGACCGAGCAACGCCGCGUGAGUGAAGAAGGUUUUCGGAUCGUAAAGCUCUGUUGUAAGAGAAGAACGAGUGUGAGAGUGGAAAGUUCACACUGUGACGGUAUCUUACCAGAAAGGGACGGCUAACUACGUG
This 495-nucleotide ribosomal RNA is filed under the name uncultured bacterium. RNAcentral's name for it is "partial 16S ribosomal RNA". It matches the Rfam family "Bacterial small subunit ribosomal RNA", at positions 28 to 507 of the family's 1533-position model. The record is from RNAcentral.